UCCCAUUUUAUGUUGCUUUAGUGCUCUUAAUCAUCACCUCAUUACCAACCAUAUCACUCUUUCUCUCCUAGCUGUAUAAGAAGAAGACCAGAAGACUAAGAUGAAAAGAAGCAAAAGUGGUGGAGCUGAGUCACUAGCCUAGAGGGAGAAGGCUGUGGUUUUUCUUUUUUUCUUUUUUUCAUUGAAAGGAAGAAGAUGGGUGUUCAGUCCCUCUAAGCCAGUUGGCAAACUCCUUGAGACCUGGGAUUGUGUGUCUUAUUCACUGUCUAGCAUCUAGCACAGUGCCCGGAAUGUAACAAGUACUCAUUAAAUAUGUAAUGUUUGACAGAAUGUUGGAAUACAGUUGGAAGACAUUUCUUCCUGGUCUCUAAAAGCUCUUGAAAAUAUUGUGUCACUUCUUUCUGGGGAGUCUGAUGAAAAAUUCACUGCCAUUCAAAUAGUUUCCUCGCUAUAGGUAAGGUCACACAGCUACU
Molecule: non-coding RNA, 473 nt
Organism: Sus scrofa (pig)
Lineage: Eukaryota; Metazoa; Chordata; Mammalia; Artiodactyla; Suidae
Source: RefSeq, a predicted model, not a curated record